RNAcentral lists this ribosomal RNA (468 nucleotides) under Triticum aestivum (bread wheat). RNAcentral's name for it is "partial small subunit ribosomal RNA". The record is from RNAcentral. Lineage: Eukaryota; Viridiplantae; Streptophyta; Magnoliopsida; Poales; Poaceae.
AUGAUGGGGGUCUUAUGCCUGUGCAGCAGCACUGGCGUGUUUCAGCUAUCCACAGCAAGAACAACCAUGUGGAUGCCAACCGCAGGAACUAGAGCUCAGGGUAUCUACAAACUAAGAGCAUUGAGAAGAGAAACUCUGUUCUGGAUCAAUCUCCUGUACAGAAGUUCCACUCCGCUCUCAAGAUCUUCGAUACUGCACUCCAAUGCCCGCAAUUGCUCCUCUUCGCACAGAACUUUGCUCUUCUGCAAUGUUUUGGAGACAAGAGACCACUUGGGCAUCUCAAUUUGCUUCAACAAGAUGCAGGAUGUGGAUUCGAGAAGUGAAAUGACGGAUGUAUGCCUUGACUUGGCAAGUUGUGUCCUCUCCUCUCUUGAGAACCAACAAGAGCUCUUGGACAGUCAUCUUCAGCUCCAUCAAGGUCUCCUGCAUGGCGUUGCAGAGGUCGAGCACGACGAGGGACCGCCCUAG